Carcharodon carcharias (great white shark) is the source of this 210-nucleotide small nucleolar RNA. RefSeq annotates it as small nucleolar RNA U3. The record is from RefSeq and is a predicted model, not a curated record. NCBI's taxonomy places the organism in Eukaryota, Metazoa, Chordata, Chondrichthyes, Lamniformes, Lamnidae. The transcript has a single exon.
AAGACUAUACCCCUACGGAUCAUUUCUGUAGAUUUUUUUCUAGAGAUGUGUUUCCAGAGUGUUUGGUCUCACAAACCACAAGGAAGAUUUAUAGUGUUCUCUUCUGAGCAGGAAGCAGACUUUGAAUGUUGCUUUUAGCAGUUGCUCACUGUCAUUGAUGUGUUCCCCCUCUCUCUUGUAGUGAGCUGGAGGAAGAGAACACAGCCUGAG